AUGCCUCGAUGGCGGCUCCGAUCUGGCCGGCUCGCCUGCGCGAUGGCUAUCGUGGCGGCGACCGCGGCCGCGGCAGCCGUGGGCGUGGCCGCCGGAGUAGGGGAAGCCGAGGCGGAGUUCGACUACCGGAAGCUAUCGGGGAUAAUAAUCCCGGGAUUCGCGUCGACGCAGCUGCGGGCGUGGUCGGUGCUCGACUGCCCCUAUUCGCCGUUCGACUUCAACCCCCUCGACCCCGUCUGGCUCGACUCCACCAAGCUUUUCUCUGCUCUAAAUUGCUGGCUUAAAUGCAUGCUGCUUGACCCUUAUAACCAGACGGACCAUCCAGAAUGCAAGUCAAGGCCGGAUAGUGGUCUUUCUGCAAUUACAGAGUUGGACCCUGGUUAUAUAACAGGUCCUCUUUCUUCAAUAUGGAAAGAAUGGGUCAAAUGGUGUGUAGAGUUUGGUAUUGAAGCUAAUGCUAUCAUCGCCGUUCCGUAUGAUUGGAGGCUACCCCCGUCGAUGCUUGAGGAGAGGGAUCUGUACUUUCAUAAAUUGAAAUUAACUUUUGAAAUUGCAUUGAAACUUCGAGGAGGGCCAUCUUUAGUUUUUGCUCAUUCCAUGGGAAACAACGUAUUUCGGUACUUUUUGGAAUGGUUGAAACUAGAAAUUGCUCCAAAGCACUACAUCCAAUGGCUUGACAAACAUAUACAUGCGUACUUUGCAGUUGGUGCUCCUAUUCUCGGAUCUACUGAAUCAAUUAGAGCUACUCUCUCUGGGACAACGUCUGGUCUUCCAGUCACUGAGGGGACUGCCCGGUUGAUGUUUAAUUCAUUUGCUGCUUCUUUAUGGCUCUUGCCAUUCUCAAAAUACUGCAAAGCUGAUAAUAUAUACUGGAAGAAUUUUUUUGAGGGAAAGGGAGGUUAUCCUCACAGACAACAAUGCGAUGAGAUGGAGUAUACUUCAGACUACUCUGGAUGGCCCACAACCCUCGUCAGUAUCGAGGUUCCUACAGUUCGAGGUGCGGAUGCGUAUCCAUCCAUUAUGGACCUAACAGAGGACAUAACAUCCAACAUGGAGUGUGGAAAGCCAACACUCUUGACAUUUUCUGCCAGAGAAGUUUCAGAUGGUACUUUGUUCAAAACUAUUCUGGAUUACGACCCACAGAGCAAAGCCCUUCUUCAUCAGCUGGAGAAGUACUACCAAGGUGACCCAGUUCUCAAUCCUCUCACUCCCUGGGAGAGACCGCCAAUAAAGAAUGUAUUCUGCAUAUACGGCAUUGAUUCUAAGACUGAGGUAGGAUAUUUUUUUGCACCAAGUGGCAAACCAUAUCCAGAUAACUGGAUAGUAACAGAUGUGAUUUAUGAGUUUGAACAGUCCCUACUGUCAAGAUCAGGUCAUUCUGUUUCCGGAAAGCCAAACAAUUCCAGUGGAGAUGGAACGGUAUCCUACAACUCCCUCUCAUUGUGCAAGCAAUGGCUUGGGCCAAAAGUGAACAUAACAAGAGCUCCACAGGCAGAACAUGAUGGAUCUGAUUUACAGACAAGCAUGAAUGCUGAGCAUUAUCAUGGUCAGGAUCUAUUUCCAAACAUGACAAGGGCUCCACAUGUGAAGUACAUAACCUACUAUGAAGAUGCUGAAAGUAUCCCAGGAUGGAGAACAGCAGUCUGGGAGCUUGACAAAGCAAAUCACAGGAAUAUUGUUAGGAUGCCGGUAGUUAUGCGUGAGUUAUGGCUUGAAGUGUGGCAUGACAUGCACCCUUAUUCGAAAUCAAAAUUUGUGACAAAAGCUUUCCGAGGUCCGUUAAGAAACGAAGAUUGCCACUGGGACUACGCAAAAGCUCGGUGUGGUUUUCCAGAAUUCUGUGAAUACAGGUACACGUUUGGUGACGUGCAUCUAGGAAUGAGCUGCAGGCUGAAAAAUUCAUCAACUACGCUCCUUCGGCAGUAUAUCUGAAACUAUUCUUUGUUUUUCUGAGUAACUUAUGAAUUAUCACUCACAUGUUUAUUAUACUGGACAUUCCUCUUUUGCUUGGCCAUGAAAUUACUCGGUGGGGAUGUAACAUGGACAAGUCGGGCUGAAGCCCCAUCUAGAAACAGUUAUGAUAUUUUCAGGACUGGUGUUGUUUGUAACACCAAACCUCCAGCCACAUGGAAGCCACUCGUAGCAGAAUUGACUCGAUCAUGCCAAAGUUUUGCCAUGAGAUCACGCUGGUGUGUACAGUAGGUUUGGCUGUUUGGGCAGCCAAUUGCUCACAUUAACGGUCUGAGAAAGGUACUCCGUGCUUCCGUGGUACUCCCUUGGUCUGGAUGUAUAGGGUGAAUUUCGUUUGGUUAAGUGUUUGACCAACAAUGGCUCCAUUGGCAUGUAAUUAGUGUGAGUACGAACUAUUGUCAUCAGAUUAGUACUUGCAGGUACUUAGUUGUUACUUCGCCGUGAGUUGGGAAAUCUGGUAUCUACAGGUGCGAAUCUAGCUAAACAUCUUUGCAGUUGAUUGAUUAGAUGCGUUUGCUUGAUCUCUACUUCUA
Lolium rigidum is the source of this 2504-nucleotide RNA transcript. It is a transcript of the gene named phospholipid--sterol O-acyltransferase-like, with no coding region annotated. Lineage: Eukaryota; Viridiplantae; Streptophyta; Magnoliopsida; Poales; Poaceae. The record is from RefSeq and is a predicted model, not a curated record. The transcript is spliced from 17 exons.